Molecule: ribosomal RNA, 721 nt
Filed under: Priestia megaterium
Lineage: Bacteria; Bacillati; Bacillota; Bacilli; Caryophanales; Bacillaceae
Description: bacterial SSU rRNA
Rfam family: Bacterial small subunit ribosomal RNA
Source: RNAcentral
CUCAGGAUGAACGCUGGCGGCGUGCCUAAUACAUGCAAGUCGAGCGAACUGAUUAGAAGCUUGCUUCUAUGACGUUAGCGGCGGACGGGUGAGUAACACGUGGGCAACCUGCCUGUAAGACUGGGAUAACUUCGGGAAACCGAAGCUAAUACCGGAUAGGAUCUUCUCCUUCAUGGGAGAUGAUUGAAAGAUGGUUUCGGCUAUCACUUACAGAUGGGCCCGCGGUGCAUUAGCUAGUUGGUGAGGUAACGGCUCACCAAGGCAACGAUGCAUAGCCGACCUGAGAGGGUGAUCGGCCACACUGGGACUGAGACACGGCCCAGACUCCUACGGGAGGCAGCAGUAGGGAAUCUUCCGCAAUGGACGAAAGUCUGACGGAGCAACGCCGCGUGAGUGAUGAAGGCUUUCGGGUCGUAAAACUCUGUUGUUAGGGAAGAACAAGUACAAGAGUAACUGCUUGUACCUUGACGGUACCUAACCAGAAAGCCACGGCUAACUACGUGCCAGCAGCCGCGGUAAUACGUAGGUGGCAAGCGUUAUCCGGAAUUAUUGGGCGUAAAGCGCGCGCAGGCGGUUUCUUAAGUCUGAUGUGAAAGCCCACGGCUCAACCGUGGAGGGUCAUUGGAAACUGGGGAACUUGAGUGCAGAAGAGAAAAGCGGAAUUCCACGUGUAGCGGUGAAAUGCGUAGAGAUGUGGAGGAACACCAGUGGCGAAGGCGGC